AUUCCUCAGUAACGGCGAGUGAAGCGGUAACAGCUCAAAUUCGGAAUCUGGCCUCACGGUCCGAGUUGUAAUUUGUAGAGGAUGCUUCGAGCAUGGUCUGGCCUAAGUUCCUUGGAACAGGACGUCAUAGAGGGUGAGAAUCCCGUAUGCGGCCAGGUGCCUACGCUCAUGUGAAGCUCCUUCGACGAGUCGAGUUGUUUGGGAAUGCAGCUCAAAAUGGGUGGUAAAUUUCAUCUAAAGCUAAAUAUUGGCCAGAGACCGAUAGCGCACAAGUAGAGUGAUCGAAAGAUGAAAAGCACUUUGGAAAGAGAGUUAAACAGUACGUGAAAUUGUUGAAAGGGAAGCGCUUGCAACCAGACUUGCGCGCGGCCGAUCAUCCGGUGUUCUCACCGGUGCACUCGGCCGUGCUCAGGCCAGCAUCGGUUUUGGCGGCUGGAUAAAGGCCCUAGGAAUGUAGCUCCUCUCGGGGAGUGUUAUAGCCUAGGGUGCAAUGCAGCCUGCUGGGACCGAGGACCGCGCUUCGGCUAGGAUGCUGGCGUAAUGGUUGUAUGCGGCCCGUCUUGAAACACGGACCAAGGAGUCUAACAUCUAUGCGAGUGUUUGGGUGUCAAACCCAUACGCGUAAUGAAAGUGAACGGAGGUGAGAACCCUUAAGGGUGCAUCAUCGACCGGUCCUGAAGUUUACGGAAGGAUCUGA
Molecule: ribosomal RNA, 697 nt
Filed under: uncultured fungus
Lineage: Eukaryota; Fungi
Description: LSU rRNA
Rfam family: Eukaryotic large subunit ribosomal RNA
Source: RNAcentral